RNAcentral lists this small nuclear RNA (186 nucleotides) under Tinamus guttatus (white-throated tinamou). RNAcentral describes it as "U2 spliceosomal RNA". It matches the Rfam family "U2 spliceosomal RNA". Rfam says of the family: U2 is a small nuclear RNA (snRNA) component of the spliceosome (involved in pre-mRNA splicing). Complementary binding between U2 snRNA (in an area lying towards the 5' end but 3' to hairpin I) and the branchpoint sequence (BPS) of the intron results the bulging out of an unpaired adenosine, on the BPS, which initiates a nucleophilic attack at the intronic 5' splice site, thus starting the first of two transesterification reactions that mediate splicing. The record is from Rfam by way of RNAcentral. Lineage: Eukaryota; Metazoa; Chordata; Aves; Tinamiformes; Tinamidae.
AUCGCUUCUUGGCCUUUUGGCUAAGAUCAAGUGUAGUAUCUUUUCUUAUCAGUUUAAUAUCUAAUUUAGGGUGGUGAUCAGUGGUGCAGAGUCUAGUUGGAGGCCUGUAGCUAGUGGGGUCCCCCAGGGGUCAGUCCUCAGUCCAGUCCUGUUUAAUUUAUUCAUCAAUGGCCUGGAUGAAGGCAC